RNAcentral lists this ribosomal RNA (468 nucleotides) under uncultured bacterium. RNAcentral's name for it is "partial 16S ribosomal RNA". It matches the Rfam family "Bacterial small subunit ribosomal RNA", at positions 28 to 507 of the family's 1533-position model. The record is from RNAcentral.
GACGAACGCUGGCGGCGUGCUUAACACAUGCAAGUCGAACGGUGAAGCCCCAGCUUGCUGGAGUGGAUCAGUGGCGAACGGGUGAGUAACACGUGAGCAACCUGCCCCAGACUCUGGAAUAAGCGCUGGAAACGGCGUCUAAUACUGGAUACGAGAUCAAGCCGCAUGGUUAUGGUCUGGAAAGUUUUUCGGUUUGGGAUGGGCUCGCGGCCUAUCAGCUUGUUGGUGAGGUAAUGGCUCACCAAGGCGACGAAGGGUAGCCGGCCUGAGAGGGCGACCGGCCACACUGGGACUGAGACACGGCCCAGACUCCUACGGGAGGCAGCAGUGGGGAAUAUUGCACAAUGGGCGAAAGCCUGAUGCAGCGACGCCGCGUGAGGGAUGACGGCCUUCGGGUUGUAUACCUCUUUCAGCAGGGAAGAAGCGAAAGUGACGGUACCUGCAGAAGAAGCACCGGCUAACUACGUG